ACAGCAGCAGCCGCGGGAAUACGUAGGGUGCAAGCGUUAAUCGGAAUUACUGGGCGUAAAGCGUGCGCAGGCGGUUAUAUAAGUCAGAUGUGAAAUCCCCGGGCUCAACAUGGAAACUGCAUUUGAGACUGUAUGGCUAGAGUGUGUCAGAGGGGGGUAGAAUUCCACGUGUAGCAGUGAAAUGCGUAGAUAUGUGGAGGAAUACCGAUGGCGAAGGCAGCCCCCUGGGAUAACACUGACGCUCAUGCACGAAAGCGUGGGGAGCAAACAGGAUUAGAUACCCCAGUAGUCCCUGUCUCUUAUAC
Molecule: ribosomal RNA, 305 nt
Filed under: uncultured bacterium
Lineage: Bacteria
Description: partial 16S ribosomal RNA
Rfam family: Bacterial small subunit ribosomal RNA
Source: RNAcentral